GACAGAGGGUGCAAACGUUGCUCGGAAUUACUGGGCGUAAAGGGCGCGCAGGCGGCUCUGAAAGUCAGAUGUGAAAGCCCCGGGCUUAACCUGGGAACUGCAUUUGAUACUCUAGAGCUUGAGUACGGGAGAGGAGAGUGGAAUUCCCAGUGUAGAGGUGAAAUUCGUAGAUAUUGGGAAGAACACCGGUGGCGAAGGCGGCUCUCUGGACCGUAACUGACGCUGAGGCGCGAAAGCGUGGGGAGCAAACAGG
This 253-nucleotide ribosomal RNA is filed under the name uncultured bacterium. Its description in RNAcentral is "partial 16S ribosomal RNA". It matches the Rfam family "Bacterial small subunit ribosomal RNA", at positions 524 to 776 of the family's 1533-position model. The record is from RNAcentral.